RNAcentral lists this ribosomal RNA (429 nucleotides) under Pseudomonadota bacterium. Its description in RNAcentral is "Proteobacteria bacterium partial 16S ribosomal RNA". It matches the Rfam family "Bacterial small subunit ribosomal RNA", at positions 355 to 776 of the family's 1533-position model. Lineage: Bacteria; Pseudomonadati; Pseudomonadota. The record is from RNAcentral.
UGGGGAAUAUUGGACAAUGGGCGAAAGCCUGAUCCAGCCAUGCCGCGUGUGUGAAGAAGGUCUUCGGAUUGUAAAGCACUUUAAGUUGGGAGGAAGGGCAGUAAGCGAAUACCUUGCUGUUUUGACGUUACCGACAGAAUAAGCACCGGCUAACUCUGUGCCAGCAGCCGCGGUAAUACAGAGGGUGCAAGCGUUAAUCGGAAUUACUGGGCGUAAAGCGCGCGUAGGUGGUUCGUUAAGUUGAAUGUGAAAGCCCCGCGCUCAACCUGGGAACUGCAUCCAAAACUGGCGAGCUAGAUUAGGGCAGAGGGUGGUGGAAUUUCCUGUGUAGCGGUGAAAUGCGUAGAUAUAGGAAGGAACACCAGUGGCGAAGGCGACCACCUGGGCUCAUACUGACACUGAGGUGCGAAAGCGUGGGGAGCAAACAGG